RNAcentral lists this ribosomal RNA (492 nucleotides) under uncultured bacterium. RNAcentral describes it as "partial 16S ribosomal RNA". It matches the Rfam family "Bacterial small subunit ribosomal RNA", at positions 29 to 507 of the family's 1533-position model. The record is from RNAcentral.
AGUGAACGCUGGCGGUAGGCCUAACACAUGCAAGUCGAACGGCAGCACAGUAAGAGCUUGCUCUUACGGGUGGCGAGUGGCGGACGGGUGAGGAAUACAUCGGAAUCUACUUUUUCGUGGGGGAUAACGUAGGGAAACUUACUCUAAUACCGCAUACGACCUACGGGUGAAAGCAGGGGAUCUUCGGACCUUGCGCGAUUGAAUGAGCCGAUGUCGGAUUAGCUAGUUGGCGGGGUAAAGGGCCACCAAGGCGACGAUCCGUAGCUGGUCUGAGAGGAUGAUCAGCCACACUGGAACUGAGACACGGUCCAGACUCCUACGGGAGGCAGCAGUGGGGAAUAUUGGACAAUGGGCGCAAGCCUGAUCCAGCCAUACCGCGUGGGUGAAGAAGGCCUUCGGGUUGUAAAGCCCUUUUGUUGGGAAAGAAAAGCAGCAGGUUAAUACCCCGCUGUUCUGACGGUACCCAAAGAAUAAGCACCGGCUAACUUCGUG